This is a long non-coding RNA of Amphiprion ocellaris (clown anemonefish), 742 nucleotides long. Lineage: Eukaryota; Metazoa; Chordata; Actinopteri; Pomacentridae. The record is from Ensembl.
GGCAGCUGUAAAGUUUCUGCUCCUUCAAAGUUCACAACACAAUGAAUUAAUUCCUAAAACACUCUCAAUGCUGGAGAGCGUUUGUGAUGCUGAAGCAUGACCAGUUUUUCUGUUUCUUCUCUGGAGAUGCACAAUGAGGGACGUCUGCAGAGACUGAGAAAGAGUCUCACCACAUCCUGACAUGAGGAAAAAGACUUGAUUGAAGACUACAAUGAGAAAAACUAUCAGACAGCAGACGGCUGCAUUCAAGUCUGUAGCUGCUGAAUUCAUGGAUGAAUCAUCUGGCACUAGAGAGGAAGACCAUCAAACAUCCACGUCAGCUGAUGGAGGUCCAAGAGUCUCACCCAACAAACAACCUACAGAGUGAAGACCUUGAAUCUGAUUGGACGGCCUCCUAUUCAGCCACAUGUGAACAAAUGCCUCUAAGUUGGUUUGUUUUCUAAAAUAACAUGACAUGUUCAGGCGUUCUUUGUGUGAAAACUCAGAGAUUUCAGGUAUCAGAAGGUGGUUUUCAACUUUCUUUGUUAACUUUCUGCUUCAACUUUAAACUAAAUUUCCUUCACUAAGCCAGCCCUCUGGACUUCCAGUAAGCUGUGUUCCUAUUGGCUGUCCAGGUGGCUGCUUGGUGUUAUCAGGAACACCUGAGCAGCUCAGUGUCUUCCUGCUUUAUUUAGCUGCAGACAAACAUUUCCUCUGCUUCUCUUCACCACUGAACCGGGUUUGGCUCCGUUGCUUUAGUUUG